This 10894-nucleotide long non-coding RNA is filed under the name Homo sapiens (human). RNAcentral's name for it is "HSALNT0107306". The record is from RNAcentral. Lineage: Eukaryota; Metazoa; Chordata; Mammalia; Primates; Hominidae.
CUCGGAAAAAAGUACUUGGAUGAAUGAUUUUAAAAAUUUAAGACAUUGCUCUUAUGAUCCUGAUUGUGUAAAUAUAACAUACUGACUGCAUGUGAUUUUUCCUGCCAAUUGUUAACCGGAGUUAUUUUUACAGAGGGGGAUGCUUUAGGUUUUAUUUUAUACCUUUCACAUUCAAAUUUUAAUUUGAUGUGUAUAUAUUGCCUUUUUUAUUCUUUUAAAAAUAUCAACAGGGAUUGCCUGGGCAGUGAGGUUAUGGGCCAUUUUGUAUUUUAUACAAUUUAUUUUUAAAAACUCAACACUUAUAAUAAUAAAGUUUCUGAAAAAGAGACAGUACCUUCAUAUCUGAUUCUCCUGCGGUGCGUGUGCCCUGACAGAAGAAGUUGUAUUUGCCUUCCCAUACUCCUGUUACUAACUAAAAAAGAAGAAAGAGCCAGUCACCAACAGCAUCUGAGCCAUGUAAAGUCCUCAUUGAACUUUAUUAGUUGCAGAAUCUGUGAUAAUUUACCUUGGGCUGUGCUGAGCCAAGUUUGCUCUGAGAAAAAACAAUUGUAGGCAAGUGUAAACAAAAGGAAAGCUUUAAUGACUUGAGUCUCAAUUUCCUAAGGGGUGGGCUUAAAAGUCACUCCCAGGCUGCUGCCCUCAGAGACCUUCCUUUACCACGCUGCUUCUCUGCAGAACCCUCAGCCCGUCACCCCCUUGGUCCUAGCACAAGUGCCCAGACCAAGCCAAUCACAGGCUCCCUGCUCUGCCCCACAGAAGCCUCUGGCUGCUUUCCCUAAGCCAGUGCUCCUCAAACUUGAGUGUGCAGCACCAGAAUUACCUGAGGGGUGAGUUAGUAAAACAUGGGUCCCUGGGGGUGUUUCUGUUCCAGUAGGUCUGGGGGCCUAGAAUUUGUAUGUCUAACAAGGUCCAGGUGAUACUGAUGCUGCUGAUGUGGAAACCAUACUUUGAGAACCACUGCUGUAGGCUCAGGGAUAAUUUAGUCCAACUUUAUCUUCAUUAUUUCCUGUUGUUGUAUGUACAAUCCUCCGGAUCCAUGAAUUAGGCUUCACAAACUGAAGGCUUCACAAGUGCCCAUGCCUCAGAAUCACUUGCAGCACAGUAGGCACUAUGCUGUCACAGAGAGGACCCCAGAACUGGGGUACAGGCUCUACAUCACAGCCCAGCAGUUAUCACGGGCCCCUCCCCUCAAUGGGCCCGUGAUAACUGCAGGGCUGUGAUGUAGAGUCUGCACCCCAAUUCUUGUGUUCCCUGUCCUUGAACACAAGAGUUUAGCUUGGCGAGCAACACAGAUUCCCCCCCAGGGAACAAGAGGUGAUUACAAGGAUCUGAAGACACCUUGUGAUAUUUCCACCUGGUCUGACAUCAGAAAUAAAUGGCAAAAAAUGGGUGUAGCCGCUGCACUCACGCUGGGUAUCCUGCCUUCUAUCUGAUUUUUCUUUGGUUAUCUUUCUUCUUGCCAUUUUCCUUCUGCUUUGUCACCUUCUACACAUAAAAAAGCACUGAGAGUUAACAGGCUUUUCAUGGCCAAAGAAGAGCACAAGGAUUUAGCAUGGGAGAAGCAUCAGUUCAUGAUGAAGAGCCAUGGAAUUAGGAGGAAGGCUUGAGUGCCAGGCCCAGCACCUGGGGCAAGCCAGCUAAUUCCUGUGGGCUUUUGUUGUUUUUACUAUAAAAUGAUGAGGUUGGACUAAAUUAUCUCUAAAGGGUCUGUUCCAAAUUUCUGUAGCUUCAUGUUAACAGACUUUAAAAACAGACCACACAACAAACUAUUCUAUACUAUCUUUGAAAGAUCAGUACCCACAUGGUAAUUCAUUAGAAGGUGUAUUAACUUUUCUGUCUUCUACUACUCUCUAAAGUCAUGGCCAGUCAAGCAGGAUCCAUGCAGGCUGAUCAGAAGUCCUAAGAAGCAAGACACAAAGUCUGAAUCCAAAGUGCGUUGGAGGUCGGGGGAGGAAGCUGGCAUGCACUCUUGAGACCUGGGGUGGAGAGGGAAGGGCCAGCUUAGCACAGUGCUCUUUUUGCUGCCCUUCUUUCUACCCCAGGAGGGAACCAAGGAACUACCUCCUGUGGCUUGAGGGUACAGAAAGGAAACUGGUGCUUCUUGAUGAAAUGUUUGUGGGACAACCGCGAAUAAGAAAAAUAAGGACAACGCAGUAAGGUUUUCAUGAAGAUAAAUUCGUGCAAUGUAAAAGAUCCUCUUUUUUAAAACAGCAGCCUCUCUUGGCAAAAUUAAAAACGUACUAACAUAUGACUGUCUUCAUCAGAGAUAUUUUUGGAAAUGUUACCAUUUUAUGAAUCUUAAAUCUGGAACCUACCAUCACUGUUUUUUCCAGCGACUAUUUUGGUUUAUGGUGUCCAGAGACAUCCUGGGUUGGUUUUGCUUUUGUCUGUUUUAAAAUAGGAUGGCUGGUGUGUGUGCACUUGUGGAGGUGUGGAUGACUGCAUUCAUGAAUGUCUAUCUUGGCAGGGGUGGGGAAAAUCAAGGUAGCUCUCUGGAGAAGAGGAGGACAAAUCCUCUCUUGUAAUUCUGCAGGCGCCUCAAUCCCAAAGAUGAGAACGGGUUGAAGGGGUCUUGUUAACUCAGCAGAAGGGACUCUUGGACACAGGCUUCCUUUUUAAGAAGGGAUCCAGGUGGGAUUGCCUUGACUCUUUAAACUAGUUAACCUAACGUUCCAUUUGCCCUCUCCCCACCCAUAAAUGGGGCAGGGGAAUCCAUGUAUAAAACACCUGUUGUCUUUGGAGUUUAGUUAAAGAACUCAAACCUCAGUAUUGGGUGGUGAACUUUUUUCACUCCUGAAGCAUAAACCAGGUAUACACACAAGAAGCUGCUCACUCGGUGCCACUCCACUUGACCUAGGCCCACCAUUCCUCUUCCACCUGUUGAGGUUCCCUGUAGGAGCUCUGUCAUGCUUCAAUGCAACACUCCCUCCACUGCUACUCACACCUACCACACUUCCACUGGGGCCGCUGUGCCCCUCAAACCACUGAAUUCCAUAUUUCCAUAUUUAAAACCCUCCAGUGAGUCAUCAUUGCCUUCAGAAUGAAACCCUGAAUCCUAGGUGCAGUGUCCAGGUAUUUAGUCUUCCACAACGUGGUCCCAAGCUUAUCUUUCACUUCUCCCCUACGUGCACACAAAUUGGACCUCUUCCCAUUCUCCAAACAUGCCCUUCCUUAACCGCUACACAGUAGCCAAGGGGAAAGAGCAUGGGUUUGGGCAUUAGCCCAUUAAACCCUAGCUUUUUCACGUUUUGCUAGGUGACCUUAGCUAAGGUAUUCCAACAUUUUAAACUUCAGUUUUCUCAGUCCUCAAAUGGGAUAAACAUAAGGCUCCCACCAUGAAGUACAUAAUGCCUGUCUCACCCAAUGUGGUUCAUAGGAUUAAACAUAAGUGUUGGCAGUGACCACUGUUUUAUUCUUUUCAACUAGAAUGCCCUCUGCACCUAUGUACCCCCAUCUCCAGCUCUCAAAAUCCUAUCUAUCCUUCAAAGUUCAGUUAAAAUUCUAUUUUCUUCAUGAUUACUCCCUUGAGCACUAGAGCCUGAGGUCUAUUCUCCUUCCUCUACCCUCACCUUGCAGUGACCUGUAGCUGUUUGCUCACAUGCUCCCUUUGUUAAUGGGCCUGUUGUGUGCUCUUCUGUAAGAUUUCGAAGGGUGGUGACUGUGGCUCCUGCAUCUGCAUCAACAUAUUCCAGCACAGGGAUUAGCGUACCAGAGAUGUCAAACAAAUAUUUGCUAAACAAAUGACAAAGAGUUCAAGACUGCCAAUUCUUUCCCCUAAAUCUAGGCCUAAUGUUUCAUGUGCAGCAAUAAAGAGAGCUUCAUAGUAUUUUAAACGAGGCUUGACUUUGUGAUCAUAUUCAUCUGAACUCUGUUCACAAGAUGAAAACUCUUCAUCAUCAAUUUCAUAAUGGGGUCAUGGAAAUUCUCAAAUCUCCCUGGCUUCAGAAAGGAUAGAAUAAUUUAACAAACCAAGACCAAGGACCUGAGUUGAAGCUUAUUCACCUAAGACCCUCAUCAAACCUCCAUAAAAUGGGCUAGCAGUAGAGGGCUCUACUCCCUCCAUCCCCCUCAGAGGAUAGCAAUGUGUCCAUGGGUAGUGGACUACAGAGGUGCUCAAAGCAAAGGACUGACCCCUGUAGCCCCACUAGGAGCACAUCACAGGAGACAAUCCUCAAGUCAAAGUCACAUCAGCCACCUUUCCCUUUGGGACUGAGGCCUAGCUUCUUUCCAAAGAGCUGUUUUGGUCAAUUUCCCAGAAAUUCUUCAAGUUGCGUGUUAAGUAGACACCACAGGGUGAGAGGACCCAGUAGGCUGGAGAAGGUGAAGUACUGAAAAUAGGGGCAGGUGUCUGUCUACCUUGGGCUUCUGAGAAUCAGAUCGAAAGAGGACAGGACUAUACUAUAAUGAAAAAGCAGGCCAUCACAAACAGCUAACCACUACCUAACGAAAUUUUCCAUACCACUGCCAACUCCAAGAACCACCCAGGGGCAUUAUUUGCAGGCUUUUUUCUGAGGAACUGAGAUACAAACAGUACCACUGCAAAGCUUUAUACACUUCCUCCUUCCUUGGAGUAAAGCAAACUUUAAUUAGGCCAAGAGGAUGUGCAGAGCUAUAAUUAAAACCUAGCUACAAGCUCUUUUCUCCAUAUGAGAUAAAGUCAAUAACCCUGAUGGUUUCAUGCACCUUUUCAAUGAAAGAAAAAAAUGUAGGUGAGUUUCACACCUGGUUCUGGAUGACAUAAUUCAUGGAGUGAAUCUUUUUUCUUUGAGACAGGGCCUGGCUGUGUUGCUCAGGCUGGUGUGCAGUGGCACAAUCUCAGCUCACUGCAACCUCCACUUCCUGGGCUCAAGCCAUCCUCCUACCUCAGCCUCCCAAGUAGCUGAGACUACAGGUGCACGCUGUCAUGCCCGGCUAAUUUUUAUAUUUUUGUUGUAAAGAUGGGGUUUCACCAUGUUGCGCAGGCUGGUCUUAAACUCCUGAGCUCCAGUGAUCUGCUUGCCUUGGCCACCCAAAGUGCUGGGAUUCCAGGUGUGAGCCCCUGCACCCAGCCAGGAGUGAAUCAUUUUUAACGGUGAGUUGACUUUUCCCAUCUAAUAACACAUUUAACCACAAACAACUUGUAACCUUUAGCAUAAUAACCAUUUCCAUGGCACUUUCUGGAAUGCUACUGAAACAUCUCAGGAAACAAGGUCACUGGAAACACUUAAAGAAAAAGGAGGAAAACAUCAUCUUGGGUGGCCCUUAUCAGCCAUUAACAUCAGCAUCCCAAGAUGUCAGAGCAACAAGAUAACCCCUUUCCAAAGAAGACUGGCUGCUUCUGGUGAUAAGAGCUUGAUGAAGCUGCAUGUUUACUACCUCCUAUGCAGAAAUGGGGUAAAAAGUAAUGAAAAAUAGACUAUCCAUACUCAAGUUCAACUACAUCACAGGACCUAAGGUGCUUUUCUAAGCAAAAUCUCCAAGAAUACGUAGGGUUGACCCUCUUCAUAGCUUUGUUUCUGUGUGAGUCCUCAACUGUGUAUUUUUUAGAUCUGGUACAAGCUCGUAUUUUUAAUGAGAAAACAGGGAAUGAGAAGUGAUAAGGAUGGCCCAGGUCUUGGUACCACUGGGAUUAGCACAAAGGAAUCCUGACUCUCAGUCCAAAUGCACCUCAAACAGCAGUUCCAAGCAUCUUUGCCCUUCUUCAUCUGUUUUUGAAUUCUUAGUAAGAACAUGGUAGGGAUACUCUGUCCAUGAAGAAUUCUGUGGAAAAGCAGACCUUUAACUGCAUCUUUUUCUUCCGCAGAUGUUUGGUUUAAAAUUAACCAUGAACUACUCAAAAUUGAAAGUACCUAUUUCCUCUAGGGUUUAGUUGGCCAAUUUUCGCAGUGCUAUUAGGGAGUGCCAGGUCAAAGCAUGUGGUUUUUACAUUUCAAAUCUUUCAUGUCCAGAGCAUAAGGAUGCCCAUUAAGAUAAUUUCACACCCAUGACCUCCACAGGUGUUUUUUUUUUUUCCUUCUCCUUGUGAACAGGAAUACCCCUGGGUUAUAGCUGAACGUAACACUCUUGGCUAAGUUAAAAAAGACAGGUUCUGUACACUUGAGAAGUCUUUAAAACAAAACACAAAGAAACAGCCUGUCCUCAAUCCAAACUGAAACAGGUAUGUCUGGCAUUUUCCCUGAAUCCUCAAGCCCUGCCCUCUUAUGCUAGCAGUUCUCCCUGUUCAGGCCUCCCAGAACUUUCCCUCUGUAGAAAGCAGAUGGUAAGAGUGCAAUAAGCAUUAGAUUAGUUAGCCCAAUACCUGACAUAAGGUAGGCACUAUCUGUCUUUGCUAUGAUCUUAGGCAAAUGUUAAGUACUUUUGCUUCCAACUAGGGCUAAGGUGGUGCUGGAUGUCCCAGCCAAAGUAUAAUUUGUGUCAUUUAAAGGAAGGUCUCCAGCCUACCCACUGACGCCUGCUUUGCAGAGUUAAGUCCACUUUAGUUGAGGAUCUGUAGAGUGAUGUGCUCCUAGCUACACCAGCUGCAGAGCCAAGCUCUCCAGGUGUUGCAGGGGCAAGUUUAGAGGAGUGAGGCCUGGCUCUGGACAAGCCAGAAGGCUUCCUCUCUGUAGAAAGUAUUCCCUUCCCCUCCCCUGGGUGUGGGUGAGGAAUGAAGGAUGUUUGAGCUGCAUCCUUCUCUCCAUUCUCCCUACCGUGAGGCAUUCUCUCAGGGCAGUGUCAGAUACACUAGGGACAACUAACUGUUUCCUUUCAGGCCCUGAGAGAAGUUUCUUUCUCAGCAAGGAAUUUUAGUUGUAAGGAAACUAAGAGUGAAAAGUAUUCUAGGCAAUGAUCAGGCAUUUCUUGUAAGUACUAAUUUCACCAGAUGUUUCAACUGCUCUAUACCUCUGCUAAAUGGGAAAAAGAACAGCAAAUAGCCUUUUCAAAGUAUUUUGGUAAACAAAGUUAUUUUUCAAAUAAAAUUCAAUAAUCAAUUGCCAGGUUGCUUAAGUGUUUUUCCAAAUCCUAUUUUCCCACAAUAACGUAUCUAUUUUAGGAAAGCCUGAAGGGAAAGAAAAACAACCAGUUUAGAAUAUUAUGUUUCCAAAGCAACUGCUCUGUGGUUCCAUCAGAUGGCCUUCAAACCCAGAGCCUGGGGAGAUGCUUUCACAGCCCACAAUUACAGAGGUUAGAAAGCACAAACAAAGCAUUCAGUCACCAAAUGCUCAACUUCUUUCAUCUUUCCAAUAAAAAAGCAUCACAAAUUUUCAAAACAAAUUCAAAGGAAAAAAAACUGACUUCUGGUUCUAGCAACGUGGCAAACUGAACAAAAGCAGAACCAACUCUCUCACUAUAAACACAGGUAGGAAAGUGGUAUAAAACACAGCAAAAACUCCAACACAAUCAAUUCUUACCUAUAAUGCGAGGGAGGUCCCCACAACAAAUUAUUCUUUAGAAAAAGAGAAAUCAGCUUAAAUUCAACUCCUUCCAAAAUCUUUAUGUGGAAAAGGCAUGUUUACCUGAGAUGACCCCCAACAAUACUAGUUUGGGAUGCUUACACAGAACACUAGGCAAACCUUUACUUCUGUUUUAGGAGGUAAAGAAAUUUAACACAGACAAUAAUUAUCCCAGAGGCAUUACCUCACAGAUAUAUCUGUAAGCAAGCUUUUAAUAGAAUACUUAAAAAGGCAACACAGCAAAUGGUUAAAUUUGGAGAUCACUGUCAUCUAAUCUAUAUCACUGGGGGGGACAAUACUUCCAUGUUAUGGAAUAAAAAAAGAGCAAGCAGUGAACUUUCAGAAGUAAAAGAUACAUAGCCAUUUAAACUAAAAACACAAUAGAUGGAUGAAACAGAUUAAAAACAAAUGAAGGAAGUAGGAGUGAAUGGAAGAAUGCAAAAUUUUCAAAGUGCCUAGAAAGAAAAAAAGAUUACCCUACAAAUGAGCAAAAGUGGGACCACAGCAGACUUCUCUGGAAUAAAUCUUCAAAGUGCUGAGGAAAAAUAACUGUUAAUCUAGAAUUCUAUGCCUUGAUAAAAUAUUAUUCAAGUGUAAAGGCAAAUAACAUGACACUCAGACUAAGAUAUUGCCCUUCAUAGAAAGAACUACUUACGAAAAAAAUUGAAUCAAAAAGGAAAGAAUAAAUUUCACAGAGCAAAGAAAAUCAGUAAACACUGAUGGCAAUAAUGGUGAUUAUUUAGGACCUUAAAAAAAAAAAAAAGUGAGGCCAGAUGUGGUGGCUCACGCCUGUAAUCCUAGUGCUUUGGGAGGCCAGGGUGGGAGGACUGCCAGAGCCCAGGAAUUUGAGACCAGCUUGGGCAACAAAGUGAGACUCCAUCUCUACAAAAAAUAAAAAUAUUAGCUGGGCACAGUGGCAUGCUCCUGCAGUCCCAGCUGCCUGGGAGGCUGAGGCAGGAAGAUCACUUGUGCCCAGGAGUUUGAGGUUACAAUGAGCUAUGACCAUGUCACUGCACUUCAGCCUGGGCAACAGAGCAAGACCAUCUUUUUUUUUUUUUAAAAAAAAAGGUAGAAAUAACUCCUGACAACAGUAACAUGAAAGAUGAGGGGUCACAGCUAGAAUCCUCUAAGGUCCCUGGUAUUGUUUAGGAGAAUAGAAAUACUGACUCAACUGAAACUGUCGUAAGUUAAAAAUGCAUGGUAAACAUCUAUGGGUAACCACUCAACAGAAUGAAUAACUUUUGAAUAAGUACAAUAAAAAAUAAUGGUUACAAAAAUUCUACAAAGCAGUAAAGGAGAAAAGAAGGCCAAAGAAAACAUAUAUACACAAAAAAGGUGACAGAAAGUACAGGCAUACCUCAUCUUUGCUUUAUUGCACUUUGUAUAUAUUACAGGUUUUCUUAACUGAGGUCUGUGGCAACUCUGCAUUAAGCAACUCUAUUGGUACCAUUUUUACAACAGCACGUGUUCACUAUGUGUUACUGUGUCACAUUUUUGUAAUUCUCACAAUUAUAAAAUAUUUCUCAAAAUAUUUCAAAUUUUUUCACUAUUAUUAUAUCUGUUGUGGCGAUCUGUGUGUGGUUACUGAACUUUGAUGUUACCAUUGUAAUUGUUUUGAGGUGCCAUGAACCACACCUAUAUAAGACAGCAAACUCAACAAAUAUUGUCUGUAUUUUAGCUGCUCCACAGACUUGCUGUUCCCCCUAACCAUCUCUUUCUUCUCUGGCCUCCUUAUUUCCUGAGAUACAACAAUAUUGAAAUUGGGUUAAUAAUCCUACAAUGGCCUCUAAGUGCUGAAGUGAAAGGAAGAGUAGCAUGUCUCUCACUUUACAUCAAAAGCUAGAAAUGAUUAAGCUUAGUGAGGAAGGCAGGUGGAAAGCUGAGACAGGACGAAAGCUGGGCCUCUCGUACCAGGUUAGCCACGUUGUGAAUGCAAAGGAAAAGUUACUGAAGGAAAUUAAAAGUGCUACUCGUAUGAACAUAAAAAUGAUGAGAAAGCAUUAGUAGCCUUAUUGCUGAAAGUUUGAGUGGUCUAGGUAGAAGAUCAAACCAGCCAUAACAUUCCCUUAAGCCAAAAUCUAAUCCAGAGCAAGCCACUAACUCACUUCAAUUCUGUGAAGCCUGGGAGAGGUGAUGAAGCUGCAGAAGAAAAGCUUGAAAAUAGCAGAGGAUAGCUCAUAAGGUUUAAGGGAAGAAGUCAUCUCCAUAACACAAAAGGGCAAGGUGUAGCAGCAAGUGCUGCUAUAGAAGCUGCAGCCAGUUAUCUGGAAGAUUUAACUAAGAUCACUGACGAACAUGGCUACACUAAACUGUAGCACAUACCACUGCACCUGGGAGCAUUUUUAUUUUUAAUUUAUCUUUUUUUUCUUAUAAAUAGGGUUUUACUCUGUCACCCAGGCUGGAGUGCAGUGGUGUGGUCAUAGCUCACCGGAACCUUGAGCUCCUGGGCACAAGCCAUCCUCCCACCUCGGCCUCCCAAGUAGCUAGGACAACAAGCUCGAGCCAUGCCAGGCUAGUUAUAAAAUUUUUUGUAGAGAGAGGAUCUUGCUAUGUUGCCCAGGCUGGUCUCAAACUCCUGGCCUCAAGCAAUUCUCCCACCUCGGCCUCUCAAAGUGCUAGGAUUACAGAUGUACACCAUUGUGCCUGGCCAGCAUUUUUAAAUUUAGGUAUGUCUACUGUUUUUUUUUAAGAUUUAAUGCGAUUGCACACUUAAUAGACCAUAAUGUAAACAUAACUUUUAUAUGCACUGCGAAACCAAAAAUGGUAUGACUUACUUUAUUGCAAUACUCAUUUUAUUGCAGUGAUCUGCAACUAAUGCUGCAAUAUCUGAGGUAUAAAAUAACUAUUAACAUGCUAAAUGAAAAUGAAUUAAAUUUCCCCAUUAAAGACAAGAGACUGUCGGAUUCAGUCAUUAAACCCCUAUGCAUUUAUCUGGUCAAAAAACUUACCAUAUUUGCAUAAGGAGAUAUGUCUAAGAAGAUUCUUGGCACACUGUUAAUUGAACAACUUGCAUAAACCCACAUAGCUGGGCACAGUGGCUCACACCUGUAAUCCUAGCACUUUGGGAGGCUGAUGUGGGAGGAUCACUUUGAGUCCAGGAGUUUGAGAUCAGUCCAGGCAACACCGUGAGACAAUGUUUCUACCAAAAAUAAAAAAAUUAGCCAGGCAUGGUGGCACAUGCCUGUAGUCCCAGCUACUCAGGAGGCUGAGGUGGGAGGAUCGCUUAAGGCCAGGAGUUCUAGGCUGCAGUGGGUGAGGUAUGAUUGUGCCACUGAACUCCAGCCGGGGUAACAGAGCCGGACUCUGUCUCAAAAAACAACAACAAAAAACAAUCUAACAACAUACAUAUCCAUCCAAAGAAACACUUAUAAAAUGGUGUAAUAAAUUCCAACACUGAAAUAAUACAAAGCAGAUAAAAUGAAUUUCUAAUUAACUAUAAUUAACAUAAUUAUAAUUAAUGAAUUACAUCUAUACGACUCAAG